CGGUAAUUCCAGCUCCAGUAGCGUAUAUUAAAGUUGUUGCAGUUGAAACGCUCGUAGUCUGAACUUAAUCCUUUGGGAAGAACCGCUCGCCUCUUUUGCUUUGUGCCGAAGAGAUACGACGGUCAUUCACCUUGAUGAAUCUAGAGUGUUCAAGGCAGGCUUAGCCUGAAUACUGCUGCAUGGAAUGAGAUUAACAUUAUUUACCUUUCUUUGGUUGAAGGUAAUGAAAAUAUCUUUAGAAACAGUCGAGGACACUUGUACUUGGCCGUCAGAGGUGAAAUUCUUGGAUCGGUCAAUGACAAACAAAAGCGAAAGCAUUUGUCAAGAAUGUUUUCUUUGAUCAAGAACGAAUGCCAGGGGAUCAAAGACGAUCAGAUACCGUCGUAGUCCUGGCUGUAAACUAUGCCGACUGGAGCUUCAUAGAGAUUAUAUAACUCUGUGAGGAUCCAGAGAGAAAUCAAAGUUUUUGGGUUCUGGGGGUAGUAUGGUCACAAGGCUGAAACUUGAAGGAAUUGACGGAAGGGCACCACCAGGCGUGGAGCUUGCGGCUUAAUUUGACUCAACGCGGGAAAACUUACCAGGUCAAAACAUGGCUAUGAUUGACAGGCUGAAAGUCCUUUCUCGAUUCCAUGGUUGGUGGUGCAUGGCCGUUCUUAGUUGGUGGACUGAUCUGUCUGGUUAAUUCCGGUAACGAACGAGACCUUGGCCUGCUAACUAGUUAAAUUACUUAUGUAUUUUAACUGCUUAGAGGGACAAUGUUGGUUACAUCACUGAAGCUCGAGGUAAUAACAGGUCUGUUAUGCCCUUAGAUGUCCUGGGCCGCACGCGUGCUACAUUGACACAUUCAGCGAGCUACUAGGUCGGCAGAUCUGGUAAAUCAGCAAAGUGUGUCUUGUAGGGACAGUUCCUUGUAAUUGUGGAGCUCUAACGAGGAAUGCCUAGUAAGUGCAAGUCAACAUCUUGUACUGAUUACGUCCCUGCCCUUUGUACACACCGCCC
RNAcentral lists this ribosomal RNA (999 nucleotides) under uncultured stramenopile. RNAcentral's name for it is "bacterial SSU rRNA". It matches the Rfam family "Eukaryotic small subunit ribosomal RNA", at positions 577 to 1674 of the family's 1831-position model. The record is from RNAcentral.